GAUGAAGAACGCAGUGAAAUGCGAUAAGUAAUGUGAAUUGCAGAAUUCAGUGAAUCAUCGAAUCUUUGAACGCACAUUGCGCCCCCUGGUAUUCCGGGGGGCAUGCCUGUCCGAGCGUCAUUACAACCCUCAAGCUCAGCUUGGUGUUGGGCCCCGCCGCCCCGGCGGGCCCUAAAGUCAGUGGCGGUGCCGUCCGGCUCCGAGCGUAGUAAUUCUUCUCGCUCUGGAGGUCCGGUCGUGUGCUCGCCAGCAACCCCCAAUUUUUUUCAGGUUGACCUCGGAUCAGGUAGGGAUACCCGCUGAACUUAAGCAUAUCAAUAAGCGGAGGG
Molecule: unclassified non-coding RNA, 329 nt
Filed under: soil metagenome
Description: partial contains 5.8S ribosomal RNA, internal transcribed spacer 2, and large subunit ribosomal RNA
Rfam family: 5.8S ribosomal RNA (bases 1-120)
Source: RNAcentral